GACGAACGCUGGCGGCGUGCCUAAUACAUGCCAGUCGAACGCUUCUUUCCUCCCGAGUGCUUGCACUCAAUUGGAAAGAGGAGUGGCGGACGGGUGAGUAACACGUGGGUAACCUACCCAUCAGAGGGGGAUAACACUUGGAAACAGGUGCUAAUACCGCAUAACAGUUUAUGCCGCAAGGCAUAAGAGUGAAAGGCGCUUUCGGGUGUCGUUGAUGGAUGGACCCGCGGUGCAUUAGCUAGUUGGUGAGGUAACGGCUCACCAAGGCCACGAUGCAUAGCCGACCUGAGAGGGUGAUCGGCCACACUGGGACUGAGACACGGCCCAGACUCCUACGGGAGGCAGCAGUAGGGAAUCUUCGGCAAUGGACGAAAGUCUGACCGAGCAACGCCGCGUGAGUGAAGAAGGUUUUCGGAUCGUAAAACUCUGUUGUUAGAGAAGAACAAGGACGUUAGUAACUGAACGUCCCCUGACGGUAUCUAACCAGAAAGCCACGGCUAACUACGUG
Molecule: ribosomal RNA, 508 nt
Filed under: uncultured bacterium
Lineage: Bacteria
Description: partial 16S ribosomal RNA
Rfam family: Bacterial small subunit ribosomal RNA
Source: RNAcentral